AGUGAACGCUGGCGGUAGGCCUAACACAUGCAAGUCGAACGGCAGCACAGUGAGAGCUUGCUCUUACGGGUGGCGAGUGGCGGACGGGUGAGGAAUACAUCGGAAUCUACUUUUUCGUGGGGGAUAACGUAGGGAAACUACGCUAAUACCGCAUACGACCUACGGGUGAAAGCAGGGGAUCUUCGGACCUUGCGCGAUUGAAUGAGCCGAUGUCGGAUUAGCUAGUUGGCGGGGUAAAGGCCCACCAAGGCGACGAUCCGUAGCUGGUCUGAGAGGAUGAUCAGCCACACUGGAACUGAGACACGGUCCAGACUCCUACGGGAGGCAGCAGUGGGGAAUAUUGGACAGUGGGCGCAAGCCUGAUCCAGCCAUACCGCGUGGGUGAAGAAGGCCUUCGGGUUGUAAAGCCCUUUUGUUGGGAAAGAAAAGCAGCAGGUUAAUACCCCGCUGUUCUGACGGUACCCAAAGAAUAAGCACCGGCUAACUUCGU
This 490-nucleotide ribosomal RNA is filed under the name uncultured bacterium. RNAcentral describes it as "partial 16S ribosomal RNA". It matches the Rfam family "Bacterial small subunit ribosomal RNA", at positions 29 to 506 of the family's 1533-position model. The record is from RNAcentral.